RNAcentral lists this ribosomal RNA (588 nucleotides) under Exallias brevis (leopard blenny). RNAcentral describes it as "partial 16S ribosomal RNA". It matches the Rfam family "Bacterial large subunit ribosomal RNA", at positions 1815 to 2604 of the family's 2925-position model. The record is from RNAcentral. Lineage: Eukaryota; Metazoa; Chordata; Actinopteri; Blenniiformes; Blenniidae.
ACCGCCUCCUGUUCUUCUACACAUAGGAGGUCCCGCCUGCCCUGUGAUUAUUAAUUUAACGGCCGCGGUAUUUUGACCGUGCGAAGGUAGCGCAAUCACUUGUCUUUUAAAUGAGGACCUGUAUGAAUGGCAUAACGAGGGCUUAACUGUCUCCCCCACCUAGUCAAUGAAAUUGAUCUCCCCGUGCAGAGGCGGGGAUAGUCACAUAAGACGAGAAGACCCUGUGGAGCUUUAGACAAUAAACGGACCCCGUAAAGAGUACCUAAGCAAUAGGCUAAAACAAAAAGAUACACCGUUUUGCUGUCUUUGGUUGGGGCGACCAAGGGAUAAAAAAUAACCCCCAUGUGGAAUCUGAAAACAAUUCUUUCAGUGAAGAACGUCGGUUCGACACAACAGAAUGUCUGACCUAAAAUGACCCGGCAAUUAAGGCCGAUCAACGGAACCAGUUACCCCAGGGAUAACAGCGCAAUCCUCUCCCAGAGCCCAUAUCGACGAGAGGGUUUACGACCUCGAUGUUGGAUCAGGACAUCCUAAUGGUGCAGCCGCUAUUAAGGGUUCGUUUGUUCAACGAUUAAAGUCCUACGUGAU